This 2017-nucleotide unclassified non-coding RNA is filed under the name Leishmania donovani. RNAcentral's name for it is "gene:LdHU3.26.1430(CDS-product:Ring_finger_domain /Zinc_finger_C3HC4_type_(RING_finger)_containing_protein_pu tative)". Lineage: Eukaryota; Euglenozoa; Kinetoplastea; Trypanosomatida; Trypanosomatidae. The record is from RNAcentral.
CGUAUGUAUAUGCGCGUGCGCUUUCCGACUCUUUUCUACCGCAUUGGAAGCCUACAACCGCACACACACACACACACACGCACGUUCGCUCUGUGCAGGUGCGCGUGUCUGUACGCACCCUUUCCUUGCUUUGACUUUACAUUGAUGCGCUGGGGCGCACUUCUUUCCAUCUGCUGAUGCGCAUCGUGUGUGCCCCCUCCUCCUCAUGCUUCUCCACGAGGCGCUUGUUCACACAGAAUGCCCCAUCUGCCUGCAGCCACUAAACUACUGUCUUCGGCCGCCACCCAGUCGCCCUGCCUCUCCGCCCUCCUUCGGCACCUCCGCAGUGGUGGCCACCGGUAGCGGGACCACGAGUAGCACGAGUGCGUCAGGCCACUCCCCACGCUCGCCGCUGCAGCUGAGUGGGUCGAACGCCUCGGGCGGGGCAGGUGAGUUUUGCAUCACGUUUGCACCUGGAGUGUACGGGAGCGAUGCGACAGAUCCGUGGCGCCCAAGCGUCGCCGUCGUGUCUCCAGCGUCCCCUCGUGAAGCGCCAAGCCCGUCGGGUCAGCGCCGCUUUGCGCACAGCGAGCCGUGCCCACCCUUCAGCGGCGGGGGGGCGAAUCUGUCUGGCAGCGGCCACACCGCCGACAGCAGCAGCGACGAAGGUGCCGCCGGUGUUGUGGUGCUGCCGUGCGGACAUCUUCUGCACUACCUAUGCGCUAUGCAGCUGUGCGAGUACGCCAACCAUCCGUCCUGUCCCGUGUGCCGGCUGAAACUCGCCUCCGGCGCCGAUUUGAUUCUCUUCCGUCCUCAGCUGCGAGUGUCGUUGAUCGCCGCAGCCCAGGCGUCUUCCGGCGUCUCUGCCGACUGCGCUUACAUCGAGGGAGAGUGUAAGAGCGCCAUCAGCGUGCGAAAGCGUUGUCGGCUCGAAGAGGCGGAGAGUGAGGACGGCCAUACGCACGGUACGGAUAGCCACCGAGCGGACGGCGAGGACGCCAACAGUGUGCAGGUAUGCUCGCCUCAGUCGGGAUCGCAGCGCGGCUGCGUGCCGGGUCCUUCUGUCGCGCGCACCUCCACGUCUCAAUCCGGUGGCGAGCUUAGCGCCCCCAAGCUCAUUCUCGGGGACGAUUUGGAGCUGACGGACACCUGUGCGGCGCCGAAGACGCAGGGUUUGCCUGCCACAUCUCUCCAGAACAGCGGCGGCGAUGCAGACGCAAACCAAAGCGAGGACGACAUCACGAUCAUCGGUGCCCGUCAACUCCCGCCCUCCCAGGCCUAUGCGGAACUGCUGCUUCGCACCACUGCAACGUGGGCAGAGCGGGCAGAGACGCUCAAGGCGCGAGUGGAACACCUUGAGAGGAGUCAGCAACUGCUGCAGAGCGACUGCAGUGAGCUAGAGCGCACCCUCACCGUUGCGCGUCGUCGCCGAGAGGUGUUGCUGAGUCUUCCAUCGUCGAAAGAUGAGCAGGAUGUACUUCCAUCGGCUCAGAGGUUGCGUGAGCUGCGACGCCUCUGUCUUGAGACACGGACAGCCAUGUCGUCCACUACGACACAGCUGGCAGAGGCGAUCCGCGGCCACGCGGAGGUGCGGCGGCAGACAGAGAAGUACGUGCGCAAGCUGUCAAGGCUGGAGUCUGGCAAAGGAGUCGGGAGAGCUGGCGGCGACACUGCCAUUGCCUCUGCCUCUGCCUCUGCCGCCGCGGUGAAAGCAGGCCUACCGCCUCCGCCAUCACGACGGCAGCCGCCACAACGAGGUGCAACACCGGCAGGGGAGGCAGCAGCAGCAGCAGCGGCGCUCGAUGGCCCGCCCUGAAACUUUGUACGAGCAGUGGGCCCAUAUUUCGCAGCCCUUGUAGGUGCCUGUGAACUCUUCCGUGCUAAUCCCUACGUGGGCGGAGCGUGAGAGCGCGCGAGAUGUUCCGUCCUCUUGUUCACCCAUGAAGCCCCCGCCUUGCACGCCCGCUACCAACGUGCGCCGACAGUCUAUCCAACAAGAGACUACAGAGCCGUUCUCUUUGGAUGUUGUUGAAGAAUG